This 243-nucleotide unclassified non-coding RNA is filed under the name fungal sp. Its description in RNAcentral is "partial internal transcribed spacer region". The stretch from base 1 to 46 matches the Rfam family "Eukaryotic small subunit ribosomal RNA", at positions 1786 to 1831 of the family's 1831-position model. RNAcentral also lists the same sequence under 1 other name. The record is from RNAcentral. Lineage: Eukaryota; Fungi.
AAGUCGUAACAAGGUCUCCGUUGGUGAACCAGCGGAGGGAUCAUUACAGAGUUGCAAAACUCCCUAAACCAUUGUGAACGUUACCUAAACCGUUGCUUCGGCGGGCGGCCCGGGUCCUUCCCGGCGCCCCUCGGCCCUCGCGGGCGCCCGCCGGAGGAAAACCAAACUAUUGCAUUGUAUGGCCUCUCUGAGUCUUCUGUACUGAAUAAGUCAAAACUUUCAACAACGGAUCUCUUGGUUCUG